RNAcentral lists this transfer RNA (82 nucleotides) under Jaapia argillacea MUCL 33604. RNAcentral's name for it is "tRNA-Ser (AGA) (tRNA-Ser-AGA-4-1)". It matches the Rfam family "tRNA". Rfam says of the family: Transfer RNA (tRNA) molecules are approximately 80 nucleotides in length. Their secondary structure includes four short double-helical elements and three loops (D, anti-codon, and T loops). Lineage: Eukaryota; Fungi; Basidiomycota; Agaricomycetes; Jaapiales; Jaapiaceae. The record is from RNAcentral.
GGCAUCUUAGCCAAGUGGUUACGGCGACAGAUUAGAAAUCUGUUUCCCUUUGGGAGCGUAGGUUCGAGUCCUGCAGAUGUCA